Non-coding RNA from Trametopsis cervina, 91 nucleotides. The record is from the annotation of a GenBank genome assembly. NCBI's taxonomy places the organism in Eukaryota, Fungi, Basidiomycota, Agaricomycetes, Polyporales, Irpicaceae.
GGUGAGAUGGCCGAGCGGUCUAAGGCGCCAGACUAAGGCGGUUCUACGCAUCUGGUCCGAAAGGGCGUGGGUUCGAAUCCCACUCUCAUCA